Molecule: ribosomal RNA, 399 nt
Filed under: uncultured bacterium
Lineage: Bacteria
Description: bacterial SSU rRNA
Rfam family: Bacterial small subunit ribosomal RNA
Source: RNAcentral
AGUGAACGCUGGCGGCGUGCUUAACACAUGCAAGUCGAGCGAAGUAUUCAGCUGUAGCAAUACAGUUGAAUACUUAGCGGCAGACGGGUGAGUAACACGUAGACAAUCUACCUUCUAGAGGGGGAUAGCCCGCCGAAAGGCGGGGUAAUACCGCGUACGAUCAAGACCCGGCAUCGGGAUUUGAUGGAACGUCCGCAAGGACGGCUGGAAGAGGAGUCUGCGACCAUCGGCUAGUUGGCGGGGUAAUGGCCCACCAAGGCAACGACGGGUAUCCGGCCUGAAAGGGUGAUCGGACACACUGACACUGAGACACGGGUCAGACUCCUACGGGAGGCAGCAGUGAGGAAUCUUCCACAAUGCGCGAAAGCGUGAUGGAGCAAUGCCGCGUGCAGGAUGAAG